AGAGUUUGAUCAUGGCUCAGGACGAACGCUGGCGGCGUGCCUAAUACAUGCAAGUCGAGCGGACGUUUUAUUGGUGCUUGCACCGAUUUAACGUUAGCGGCGGACGGGUGAGUAACACGUGGGUAACCUGCCCUAUAGACUGGGAUAACUUCGGGAAACCGAGGCUAAUACUGGAUAAUACAUUGAAUCACAUGUUUCGAUGUUGAAAGAUGGUUCUGCUAUCACUAUAGGAUGGACCCGCGGCGCAUUAGCUAGUUGGUGAGGUAACGGCUCACCAAGGCGACGAUGCGUAGCCGACCUGAGAGGGUGAUCGGCCACACUGGGACUGAGACACGGCCCAGACUCCUACGGGAGGCAGCAGUAGGGAAUCUUCCACAAUGGACGAAAGUCUGAUGGAGCAACGCCGCGUGAGUGAAGAAGGAUUUCGGUUCGUAAAACUCUGUUGUAAGGGAAGAACAAGUGCAGUAGUAACUGGCUGCACCUUGACGGUACCUUAUUAGAAAGCCACGGCUAACUACGUGCCAGCAGCCGCGGUAAUACGUAGGUGGCAAGCGUUGUCCGGAAUUAUUGGGCGUGAAGCGCGCGCAGGUGGUUUCUUAAGUCUGAUGUGAAAGCCCACGGCUCAACCGUGGAGGGUCAUUGGAAACUGGGAGACUUGAGUGCAGAAGAGGAUAGUGGAAUUCCAAGUGUAGCGGUGAAAUGCGUAGAGAUUUGGAGGAACACCAGUGGCGAAGGCGACUGUCUGGUCUGUAACUGACACUGAGGCGCGAAAGCGUGGGGAGCAAACAGGAUUAGAUACCCUG
RNAcentral lists this ribosomal RNA (803 nucleotides) under uncultured bacterium. RNAcentral's name for it is "bacterial SSU rRNA". It matches the Rfam family "Bacterial small subunit ribosomal RNA", at positions 8 to 789 of the family's 1533-position model. The record is from RNAcentral.